AUUCUUAUUAGCUCAAUGGUAGAGCAGAAUACUUCUAAUAUUUGUAUCUAAGUUCGAGUCUUAGAUAAGAAUUCC
RNAcentral lists this transfer RNA (75 nucleotides) under Cladonia apodocarpa. Its description in RNAcentral is "tRNA-Arg". It matches the Rfam family "tRNA". From Rfam's summary of the family: Transfer RNA (tRNA) molecules are approximately 80 nucleotides in length. Their secondary structure includes four short double-helical elements and three loops (D, anti-codon, and T loops). Lineage: Eukaryota; Fungi; Ascomycota; Lecanoromycetes; Lecanorales; Cladoniaceae. The record is from RNAcentral.